AUGUUAGCGGCGGACGGGUGAGUAACACGUGGGUAACCUACCUAUAAGACUGGGAUAACUCCGGGAAACCGGGGCUAAUACCGGAUAAUAUUUUGAACCGCAUGGUUCGAUAGUGAAAGACGGUUUCGGCUGUCACUUAUAGAUGGACCCGCGCCGUAUUAGCUAGUUGGUAAGGUAACGGCUUACCAAGGCGACGAUACGUAGCCGACCUGAGAGGGUGAUCGGCCACACUGGAACUGAGACACGGUCCAGACUCCUACGGGAGGCAGCAGCG
RNAcentral lists this ribosomal RNA (274 nucleotides) under uncultured Staphylococcus sp. Its description in RNAcentral is "partial 16S ribosomal RNA". It matches the Rfam family "Bacterial small subunit ribosomal RNA", at positions 89 to 356 of the family's 1533-position model. Lineage: Bacteria; Bacillati; Bacillota; Bacilli; Caryophanales; Staphylococcaceae. The record is from RNAcentral.